Lactobacillus amylolyticus DSM 11664 is the source of this 123-nucleotide non-coding RNA. The record is from Rfam. Lineage: Bacteria; Bacillati; Bacillota; Bacilli; Lactobacillales; Lactobacillaceae.
UAUUUAAAGUAAAUUCUACCUAAGACUCGGGUGGCAUGACGCCUCAAAAUCCCGCCGAGGCCAGAAGAUAAUGAAGAUUUUAAUGCUCCAUGUCUUUCGGCAUGGAGUUUUUUAGGCCUUAUA